This 253-nucleotide ribosomal RNA is filed under the name uncultured bacterium. Its description in RNAcentral is "partial 16S ribosomal RNA". It matches the Rfam family "Bacterial small subunit ribosomal RNA", at positions 524 to 776 of the family's 1533-position model. The record is from RNAcentral.
UACGUAGGGGGCGAGCGUUGUCCGGAAUUAUUGGGCGUAAAGGGCGCGUAGGCGGAUGCUUAAGUCCGGUGUGAAAGAUCAGGGCUCAACCCUGAGAGUGCAUCGGAAACUGGGUAUCUUGAGGACAGGAGAGGAAAGUGGAAUUCCACGUGUAGCGGUGAAAUGCGUAGAUAUGUGGAGGAACACCAGUGGCGAAGGCGACUUUCUGGACUGUAACUGACGCUGAGGCGCGAAAGCGUGGGGAGCAAACAGG